RNAcentral lists this ribosomal RNA (217 nucleotides) under uncultured bacterium. RNAcentral's name for it is "partial 16S ribosomal RNA". It matches the Rfam family "Bacterial small subunit ribosomal RNA", at positions 328 to 539 of the family's 1533-position model. The record is from RNAcentral.
ACGCUCGACACCUACGGGAGGCAGCAGUGAGGAAUAUUGGUCAAUGGGCGCUAGCCUGAACCAGCCAAGUAGCGUGAAGGAUGAAGGCUCUAUGGGUCGUAAACUUCUUUUAUAUAAGAAUAAAGUGCAGUAUGUAUACUGUUUUGUAUGUAUUAUAUGAAUAAGGAUCGGCUAACUCCGUGCAGCAGCCGCGGUAAUCUGAGCGGGCUGGCAAGGC